RNAcentral lists this transfer RNA (79 nucleotides) under Yersinia similis. RNAcentral's name for it is "tRNA-Lys". The stretch from base 1 to 62 matches the Rfam family "tRNA". Rfam says of the family: Transfer RNA (tRNA) molecules are approximately 80 nucleotides in length. Their secondary structure includes four short double-helical elements and three loops (D, anti-codon, and T loops). The record is from RNAcentral. Lineage: Bacteria; Pseudomonadati; Pseudomonadota; Gammaproteobacteria; Enterobacterales; Yersiniaceae.
GGGUCGUUAGCUCAGUUGGUAGAGCAGUUGACUUUUAAUCAAUGGGUCGCAGGUUCGAGCCGAGUGAAACGAGACAACA